This 208-nucleotide ribosomal RNA is filed under the name uncultured bacterium. RNAcentral's name for it is "partial 16S ribosomal RNA". It matches the Rfam family "Bacterial small subunit ribosomal RNA", at positions 568 to 774 of the family's 1533-position model. The record is from RNAcentral.
UGCGUAGAUGGUAGAAUAAGUUAUUAGCCAAAGGCAAGCUCAACUUACUGGAAGUUAAUAAUACUGUUUUGCUAGAGAAUGGAAGGGGUUAAUGGAACUCUAUGUGUAGAGGUGAAAUUCGUUGAUCUAUAGAAGACCACCAAAAAAGCGAAGGCAAUUAACUAUUCCAUUUCUGACAUUGAGGCACGAAAGCGUGGGGAAGCAAAAC